AUACGUAGGUGGCAAGCGUUGUCCGGAAUUAUUGGGCGUAAAGCGCGCGCAGGUGGUUCCUUAAGUCUGAUGUGAAAGCCCCCGGCUCAACCGGGGAGGGUCAUUGGAAACUGGGGAACUUGAGUGCAGAAGAGGAUAGUGGAAUUCCAAGUGUAGCGGUGAAAUGCGUAGAGAUUUGGAGGAACACCAGUGGCGAAGGCGACUGUCUGGUCUGUAACUGACACUGAGGCGCGAAAGCGUGGGGAGCAAACAGGAUUAGAUACCCUGGUAGUCCACGCCGUAAACGAUGAGUGCUAAGUGUUGGGGGGUUUCCGCCCCUCAGUGCUGCAGCUAACGCAUUAAGCAAUCCGCCUGGGGAGUACGGUCGCAAGACUGAAACUCAAAGGAAUUGACGGGG
This 397-nucleotide ribosomal RNA is filed under the name uncultured bacterium. RNAcentral's name for it is "partial 16S ribosomal RNA". It matches the Rfam family "Bacterial small subunit ribosomal RNA", at positions 523 to 918 of the family's 1533-position model. The record is from RNAcentral.